This 500-nucleotide ribosomal RNA is filed under the name uncultured bacterium. RNAcentral's name for it is "partial 16S ribosomal RNA". It matches the Rfam family "Bacterial small subunit ribosomal RNA", at positions 30 to 523 of the family's 1533-position model. The record is from RNAcentral.
AUUGAACGCUGGCGGAAUGCUUUACACAUGCAAGUCGAACGGCAGCACGGACUUCGGUCUGGUGGCGAGUGGCGAACAGGUGAGUAAUGUAUCGGAACGUGCCCAGUCGUGGGGGAUAACGUAAUGAAAAUUACGCUAAUACCGCAUACGAUCUAUGGAUGAAAGCGGGGGAUCGCAAGACCUCGCGCGAUUGGAGCGGCCGAUAUCAGAUUAGGUAGUUGGUGGGGUAAAGGCCCACCAAGCCAACGAUCUGUAGCUGGUCUGAGAGGACGACCAGCCACACUGGAACUGAGACACGGUCCAGACUCCUACGGGAGGCAGCAGUGGGGAAUUUUGGACAAUGGGCGAAAGCCUGAUCCAGCCAUUCCGCGUGCAGGAUGAAGGCCCUCGGGUUGUAAACUGCUUUUGUACAGAACGAAAAGGUUUCUACUAAUACUAGGAGCUCAUGACGGUACUGUAAGAAUAAGCACCGGCUAACUACGUGCCAGCAGCCGCAGUAA